GGUUGUAAAGCACUUUAAGCAGUGAAGAAGACUCCAUGGUUAAUACCCAUGGACGAUGACAUUAGCUGCAGAAUAAGCACCGGCUAACUCUGUGCCAGCAGCCGCGGUAAUACAGAGGGUGCAAGCGUUAAUCGGAAUUACUGGGCGUAAAGCGAGCGUAGGUGGCUUGAUAAGUCAGAUGUGAAAGCCCCGGGCUUAACCUGGGAACGGCAUCUGAUACUGUUAGGCUAGAGUAGGUGAGAGGAAGGUAGAAUUCCAGGUGUAGCGGUGAAAUGCGUAGAGAUCUGGAGGAAUACCGAUGGCGAAGGCAGCCUUCUGGCAUCAUACUGACACUGAGGUUCGAAAGCGUGGGUAGCAAACAGGGUCGACGCGGCCG
This 376-nucleotide ribosomal RNA is filed under the name uncultured Psychrobacter sp. RNAcentral describes it as "bacterial SSU rRNA". It matches the Rfam family "Bacterial small subunit ribosomal RNA", at positions 421 to 788 of the family's 1533-position model. The record is from RNAcentral. Lineage: Bacteria; Pseudomonadati; Pseudomonadota; Gammaproteobacteria; Moraxellales; Moraxellaceae.